Hypanus sabinus (Atlantic stingray) is the source of this 10778-nucleotide long non-coding RNA. RefSeq lists it as uncharacterized. Lineage: Eukaryota; Metazoa; Chordata; Chondrichthyes; Myliobatiformes; Dasyatidae. The record is from RefSeq and is a predicted model, not a curated record. The transcript is spliced from 4 exons.
UGGAGAGAGAAAAAAAAUCAAGAUUCUGUAUCCUUGCCAACAUAAACUAACCCAUGCAGCAAUUGCUUGAACUUUUCUGUUUCCCCAAAUUUCCCUGAAGAUUACAUAGCUUCAGAUCAGAACUGAAGACACAAGGACAGAUGGGCACUAGAGAAAUAAGGAGAUGGAUGAGACAGAAGCUAAUAGGUGAUAGGAGGAAUCAGAUGAGAAAACAAAUGGAAGAAUUAAAGAAAAGGAGAAGCAUGUUGUCAGAUGGAGUCAACUCACAACCUGCUAAUUUUUGGAGAACAACACUUCUCUUUUGGAGAACAACAGUUCAGGAGCCAGGAGCCAUCGUCAAUAUCAUUUCUGAAAGGCAGAUCUAAUGUUUGCCGUCAAAGCUGCAACAUGUUUGCAUAAGGAUAGAGAUGAGCAUUGACCAGCUUUGCAAAAGGACAGAGUCUUCCUCAGCUAGCAACAGAGAAGGCAUCAUUUCCUUACCUUGAAAAUAAGUCUCUCUCUUAAUCAGUUCAACUGCACUUAUAGAAAGUUCUUGGGUAAUAAAAGUUGGAACAUAGAACAUAGAAUAGUACAGCACAGUACAGGCCCUUCAGCCCACAAUGUUGUGCCGACCCUUAAACCCUGCCUCCCAUAUAACCCCUUGCCUUAAAUUCCUCCAGAUACCUGUCUAGUCGUCUCUUAAAUUUCAAUAGUGUACCUGCCUCCACCAUAGACUCAGGCAAUGCAUUCCAUGCCCCAACCACUCUGAGUAAAAAAAACCUUCCUCUAAUAUCCCCCUUGAACUUCCCACCCCUUACCUUUAAUCCAUGUCCUCUUGUAUUAAACAGUGAUGCCCUGGGGAAGAGGUGCUGGCUGUCCACUCUAUCUAUUCCUCUUAAUAUCUUAUAUACCUCUAUCAUGUCUCCUCUCAUCCUCCUCCUCUCCAAAGAGUAAAGCCCUAGCUCCCUUAAUCUCUGCUCAUAAUGCAUACUCUCCAAACCAUGCAGCAUCCUGCUAAAUCUCCUCUGUACCCUUUCCAAUGCUUCCACAUCCUUCCUAUAGUGAGGUGACCAGAACUGGACACAGUACUCCAAGUGUGGCCUAACCAGAGUUUUAUAGAGCUGCAUCAUUAUCUCGUGACUCUUAAACUCUGUCCCUUGACUUAUGAAAGUUAACACCCCAUAAGAUAAAGCCCCAUCUACCUGUGAAGCAACUUUCAGGGAUCUGUGGACAUUUACCAAGAAACCGUCUGCUCCUCCACACUACCAAGUAUCCUGCCAUUUACUUUGUACUCUGCCUUGGAGUUUGUCCUUCCAAAGUGUACCACCUCACACUUCUCUGGGUUGAACUCCAUCUGCGACUUCUCAGCCUACUUCUGCAUCCUAUUAAUGUCUCUCUGCAAUCUUCCACAAUCCUCUACACUAUCCACAAUACCACCAACCUUUGUGUUGUCUGCAAAUUUGCCAACCCACCCUUCUACCCCCACACCCAGGUCGUUAAUAAGAAUCAUAAAAAGCAGAGAUCCCAGAACAGAUCCUUGUGGGACACCACUAGUCACAACCCUCCAAUCCGAAUGUACUCCCUCCACCAUGACCCUCUGCUUUCUGCAGGCAAGCCAAUUCUGAAUGCACCUGGCCAAACUUCCCUGGAUCCCAUGCCUUCUGACUUUCUGAAUAAGCCUACCAUGUAAAACCUUAUCAAAUGCUUUACUAAAAUCCAUGUAGAUCACGUCCACUGCACUACCCUCAUCUAUUUGCCUGGUCACCUCCUCAAAGAACUCUAUCAGACUUGUUAGUCACAAUCUGCCCUUCACAAAGCCAUGCUGACUGUCCCUGUGAUUCUUUAAAUGCCCAUAGAUCCUAUCUCUAAGAAUCUUUUCCAACAGCUUUCCCACCACAGAUGUAAGGCUCACUGGUCUAUAAUUACCUGGACUAUCCCUACUACCUUUUUUGAAAAAGGAGACAACAUUCGCCUCCCUCCAAUCCUCCAGUACCAUUCCUGUGGACAACAAGGACAUAAAGAUCCUAGCCAGAGGCUCAGCGAUCUUUUCCCUCACCUCGUGGAGUAGCCUGGGGAAUAUUCCAUCAGGCCCCGGGGACUUAUCCAUCCGAGUAUAUUUUAACAACUCGAGCACCUCCUCUCCCUUGAUAUCAACAUGCUCCAGAACAUCAACCUCACUCAUAUUGUUCUCACCGUCAUCAAGUUCCCUCUCAUUGGUGAAUACUAAAUAGAUGUAUUCAUUGAGGACCUUGCUCACUUCCACAGCCUCCAGGCACAUCUUCCCACCUUUAUCUCUAAUCCAUCCUACCUUCACUCCUGUCAUCCUUUUGUUCUUCACAUAAUUGAAGGAUGCCUUCGGGGUUUCCUUUACCCCACUCACCAAGGCCUUCUCAUGCCCCCUUCUUGCUCUCCUCAGCCCCUACUUAAGCUCCUUUCUUGCUACCCUAUAUUCCUUAAUAGACCCAUCUGAUCCUUGCUUUCUAAAUCUCAUAUAUGCUGCCUUCUUCCACCUGACUGGACUAUGCACCUCACUUGUCACCCAUGGUUCCUUCACCCUACCAUUCUUUAUCUUCGUAACCGGGACAAAUUUAUCCCUAACAUCCUGCAAGAGAUCCCUAAAUAUCAACCACAUGUCCAUAGUACAUUUCUCUGUGAAAUCGUCAUCCCAAUUCACACUCGCAAAUUCUAGCCUUAUAGCCUCAUAAUUUGCCCUUCCCCAAUUAAAAAUGUUUCUGUCGUCUCUGAUUCUACCCUUUUCUGUGAUAAUGCUAAAGGCCAGGGAGCGGUGAGCACUGUCCCCCAGAUCCCGCAACUGAGAGAUCUGUGACCUGACCCAGUCUGUUACCUAAUACUAGAUCUAGUAUGGCAUUCCCCCUCGUCAGCUUGUCAACAUACUGUGACAGGAAUCCGUUCUGGACACACUUAACAAACUCUGCCCUGUCUAAACCAUUGGAACUAAUCAGGUGCCAAUCAAUAUUAGGGAAGUUAAAGUCACCCAUGUUAUUUUUGCACCUUUCUAAACUCUGCCUCCCAAUCUGCUCCUCGGUAUCUCUGCUGCUACCAGGAGGUCUAUACUCCCAAUAGAGUAACUGCUCCUUUCCUGUUCCUGACUUCCACCCAUACUGUCUCAAAAGAGGAUCCUGCUACAUUACCCACCCCUUCUGUAGCUUUAAUAAUAUCCCUGACCAGUAAUGCUACCCUCCUCCCCUUUCCCCACCUCUCUAUCCCUUUUAAAGCACUGAAAUCCAGGAAUAUUGAGAAUCCAUUCCUGCCCUGGUGCCAGCCAAGUCUCUGUAAUGGCCACUACAUCAUAAUUCCAUGUAUGUACCCAAGUUCAUCAGCUUUGUUCCUGAUGCUUCUUGCAUUGAAGUACACACACUGUAGCCCUUCUGCCUUACUACCUUUACACCCUUUAUUCUGCUUCUUUCCUCAAAGCCUCUUUAUAUGUUAGAUCUGGCUUUAUACUAUGCACUAUACCUGCAGUUCUCGCAUGACCUUUAUCCUCCUCCACCUCACUAUCUGCUCUAACACUCUGGUUCCCCUCCUGCAAAUCUAGUUUAAACCCCCUGAAGCAGCACUAGCAAACCUUCCUGCAAGGAUGUUAGUCCCCCUCUAAUUCAGGUGUAACCCAUCCCAUUGGAACAGGUCCCACCUUCCUUGGAACAAGACCCAAUUGUCCAGAAACACGAAGCCCUCCCUCUUGCACCAACUCCUUAGCCACGUAUUUAGCUGCAUUAUCUUCCUAUUUCUAGCCUCACUAGCAUGUGACAUGGGUAGCAAUACUGAGAUUUCAAACCUGGAGGUCCUGUCCUUCAACUUUGCACCUAUCUCCCUAAACUCUCUUUGCAGGACCUCCUCCUUCUUCCUACCCACGUCAUUGGUCCCUACAUGGACCAUGACAUCUGGCUGCUCAUCCUCCCUCUUGAGAAUACUGAAAACUCGAUCCGAGAUAUCGCGGACCCUUGCAUCAAGGAGGCAACAGACCAUCCGGGAUUCUGGUUCUCUCCCAAAGAAUCUCUUAUCUGUCCCCUAACUAUCGAAACCCCUAUCACUACUGCUCUCCUCUUUUACCUCCUCCCUUUCUGAGCUGAGAGUCCAGUCUCGGUGCCAGAGAAGCGACUACUGCACCAAGACUGGACUUGAAAAUUUAUUAGCUUGAAAAUAGAUUUGCCAUUAGCAACUGUUCAUGAGAAUCAUUGAACCAGAAAAAUCAUUCAAUUAAAUUUGGAACACUCCACUCUAUCAAAUCAAACACACCAUAUUUGAUUCUCAUUCUCAUAGUUGUGCAUCUCAGUACUGUAUGAAAGUGUUUCUGCUGUGUAACUCUCAGCUAAAUAACAGCAUUCGGUAGCUGCAUUGCUGGAAUAUUUGACCAGCUAUGUGGUAUGCAAUGCUAAUUCUAGAGGAAUCACUUAUGAAACUUUGUCCUAAUUCUUGACCUUGACAAGUAACUAUUAUUGUGUCAUACACAAUAUCACAAAGUUAAUUAUGUGCAGAACAAUAGCCAAAACCCUAACCUUUACCAGUGCUAGAAAUGGAGGGUAGUGGCAUAUCUAAACCAUUCUUAAGGCAUACAGUAUUCUUAUGUACUUCCUACAUUCAGGGUAAUCAUUGAUUGGAACGUUGCCUGUGCACAUGAAAUAUGUAUUUCAAAUGUCAAAGUUUGGAAAACGGAAUGUGCAAUUGUAGCAUUUUGGCCAUGAAAUACAUUAUUUGUGUGAACAUAAAAACUUGUCAUUGAAUUGAUUCUGAAGGAGUGUGCUGAGCACAACAUGAGUGAGUUAACUGCCUUACUUAUUCAAUUGAUUUCAUUUUCUGUGAUAGAUAUGGCUAAUUCCUAAUGAUCUUCAUGCCCUCUUUUAUGGCAUUUCAUUCUGUUAUUGUCAGCAUCUGAUCUUCCACUGGAAAGUCCUGCAACACUAGUAUCCUUCACCAAAAUGAUUAAAGAGUGGGACUGAUUUAAAGAGAUAAUGUGAAUGACUGACGAAUGUAAUGUUCCUUGCAAUGUUUGCAUUACACAAACCCCCCAGAAAGUUUACUUUAUCCUCACAACAGUUUGUAAAAGGACCUUCUGGGAUUUCCGUACAUUGUGUAAUGCGGUACUUCCAUAAUGCAUUUGCUUUUGCACAAGUAAAUAAUAAAUAUGAUAGAAAGGUGAUUGCAACAUAGAGUGCUUCAUCCUUCUGAAAUGUCCUUAGUUAUCGCACCUGCAUAUUUAAUUAAAAUGGGCAGGCCGUGUAUCUGAUAUUACGGAUCACACAGCUGCUUCCAUCAUUCCCAGCCUACAGACAGCACAGUGGCACAGCUGGCAUAGUGGCUAUCUCAUAGCUGCAGUAACCUGAGUUCAUUCCUGACCACUUGUGCUACCUGUGAGGAGUUUCCUGCUUGUCCCAUUGAGCAUGAGAUAUUCUGCUUUCGUCUCACCUGUGGGUGGCUAGGUUAAUUGGUCAAUGUAAUGACCAGGUGCUCAGAAUAGUGUUAGAGUUUGAAGUGAAUUGAUGACAAUGUGGAGAUAAAAAGCUAUAAAGAAAAUGACUUGGCCUCCUAUGUUGCAGAUAAAUAUGGAAGCAGAGGAUCAGAAACUUCCAUGGCAGUGUUGUGAUUGCAACUGUACACUGGCACUUUUCAUCUCUCUGCUUCUACUGGCAGCAGUAUGAUACUGGCUGGAAGAUUGGUUUGAAAUGCCCCAAGGUGCCAUUGAAUUAUGAAUUUUGAUGGCCUUUGCUUGUGACUGAAUAGAAGCAAAUUCUGCUCCAGCAGACGCUACACGCUGGGAAUGUCAGCUGUAACUGACACUGAAAGGUGCUCUAUUUUCAAACGUAAUGGAUGAGCGCCCAUCUGCUCUUCACAUUGGCACAUGAUUUUACAGCAAGAUCCAGCUCUAACCACAUCAUUACAUUUGCUGAUGACAUGACAGUGGUACAACAAUGAUGAAUGGCCAUGCAGAGGGAAGGUCGAGCAGCUUGUGGACUGUUGCGAGCACAGCAGCUUGAGUCUCAACGUAACGCUAAGGAGAUAACUGUGGUCUUUGUGAACGUGCAGACUGACCACGCCCUGGCUCCUCCAUGAAUGGAGUCAACAACACCAGAUUUUUUGGAGUGCUCAUCACAGAUGAUCUCACCUGGUCCCUCAACAUCAACCAUUUAGUCAAGAAAACACAGCAACGGCUCAACUUACUAAGGAGAUUGAGACAGGGAGGCUGCUGAAGAGGAAUGGCAGAACCAAACAGCUCACUCAAGGAGGUCUUGGAUAGGGACAGCAAGGCACUUACAUUGAGAGCUUGGGUUUGCUGGUUGGGAUCAUGAUGGCUCAUGCCUUGGGUUUGAUAAGGCCUUGCAAGCCAAAUAAAUUUCCCAAAAAUAUUAAUUAGACCUAUAUCAGUUAGAUUCCCUCUUCUCAACUGGGUUAAAUUCAAGAUGUGCCUUUAAAUAGAAAUGUUGCAGUGUUAUGAAUUUUUUUUAAUCUCUCUAGGAAUUCCCAGCUCUGGUGCCUCUUAGGUCAACCCUUCAAAAGAGAAUUCCAAGAGAACUAAUGUAUCACAGAGGUGACUGUGAGGUGGCUUUGCACACUGAUGGUGAAAGUGUCCAUCAACUUUCCAGAACGAUGCAAUUCAAUCUGGAAGUAGUCAUAAUCCAAUUUCAGAUAGAAAGUCAACUCUUCUCAAUUGACAGCAAUCAACAUUGUGAUAGUUAGAAACUGAUGAAGAUUGAGAUAUGGACUGCAGAGAUUAGUGGUGUGGUGUAAAGUGUACAAUGUGAGAGUCCAGUAAGGAGAGCAUGGAUUAGUCAAAUCAGGAAUCAAUAAAGGAUGCCAAUGAUUUAUUCAUUUGUUCAUUUACUUACUUGGAGAAGUGGUGCAGAAUAGGCCGUUUCAGCCCUUCAAGCUGUGCCACCCUGCACCCCAGAUUUAAACAUACCCUAAACACAGGCAAAUUAUAAUGACUAAUUACCCUAUUUGGUACAUCCUUGGACUGUGGGAGAAAACUGGAGCAUCUGGAGAAAACCUAGACAUUCCACAGGUCAAACAUGAGGAAAUCUGCAGAUGCUGGAAAUUCAAACAACAACACACACAAAAUGCUGAUGGAACACAGCAGGCCAGGCAGCAUCUAUAGGGAGAAGCGCUGUCAACGUUUCGGGCCGAGACCCUUGAAACUGAACUCCAAACUCCGACUGGGGAAUGGGGCUGAGCGAAAAAAAAAAAUCAAUCAUGAUUAAAUAAUGGCACCAAAGCAAAGGGUCCAAUGCUAGCUUCUGAUCCUAUCUUGGGACUUCAUAGUGUUUCAAUAGCUACUAUGCUGAGGUUAGGCUGAUAUUAUACAUAGGUAGAACACAAGUUCAGAAAAGACACCAAGUUUUUGAGCAGGUAGCCUCAGAUGGAGACAGGUGUAAGAUCAACGUUAUACAUACAAGGGUCUCAAUGAAAUUAAGGCACAUGAGCCUGGAGAAGUUGGAAUUUAGAUCGGUAAUCAGCUGAAGAAGUCCAGCGGGUCAAACAGCAUUUGCAGGAGUUGUCAAUGGUUCAUUUCAAAACCCAGUCCUGAUCCAGGGUUUUGACACAAAUUUCUUGAAAUAAUGUUGCGAUCGCUUACAUGUUUAUUAUUUUAUGCCUAUGAUUGCAUUAUGUUAUUGUUGCCCUUACAUCGGUGUGCCCAACUUGGGGUCCACGGGUCCCUUGCUUAAUGACAUUGGUCCGUAGCAUAACAGGGUGGGAACCCCUGCUUUACAUUAGUUAAACUAUAACACAACAAAAAUAACUGGAUAUUCAAAUAGGGGUUCCUCAUUUAUCAAGUUAUUUAUUCAUAAACUAAUAUCACAGGAUUGCUGAGUAAAAGACUAUUUGAAUGCAGCAAAGUAUAGAAUUUGAAUUAAUUUAGUAUAUGACAAAAACGUAAUUCAUUUUAACUGGAAUUUUCUCUAGGAAUUUCUUCAGAUUUUAAUGGAAAUCACAAAACCAAUUGAAAUGUUCCAUUAUAUGGACAAGUGUGUACUUUGUGUCAGGCCUGCACUUGCCACUCAUUCCCUAAUCAUUACCUACUCCUAUUUAAACUCAGCUCUCGUACACAGUCCUUGUUCACCAGCCAGCCUCAGCCAGUUGUUCUAGCCUUCAGUUGCCUUGUUGUGUUGUUGUACUAAAUAUCUGUUCUCUCUUGUUUUGUGCCCCCUCAUGGCUUGUUAUUUUGCAGUUUAUUUUUAAAGUUAUCACUCACCACUUAAUUGGCUCUGCUGCUCUGUUUGGGUCAAGCCUCCUUUACGUUUCCUGACACUUUGUUGGCACUCAUACCUGGAAUUAGAAAGCUCUCUGGUCCCUAAAACAAACAUUAGUUUCCUGUAUUGGUGUGAAAGACUACACUACACUGCUCCAUUUUGAAGAAUCUGUUAAUGUGACUCAAUAUAUAAACAGAAUUAUAUGAUUGGACUCUGGUUAACUUGAACUAAAUUAUUGUGGCAAGCAUUUGGUCCAUGUUGACGCCGAGAAACCUUGUAUAACUCAACAGCCAUUAUUUAUUGUGAUAAACAUAAAAACAGACAAGGUGAGAGAGCCAGACAGGGGAGGUGAUUUUUACACACCCUGGUUACAAUCAGGGUGAUCCACAAACACACAACUGUAUAACCCGAGCUAAGAUACAACAAUAAAUGUGAACAUCCCAUCAUAAUCCCACGAUCACAUUUUAAAACCAGAAUAAUAAAUAGCGCUGGCCACUAGGAAUGUUGGGGUGGGCUGUCAACCUCGCUACCCCAGAGCUGUACAGUGCCCCCUCCUGAGAGGUGAGCGAUCUCCAACAGCCCCAGAGUCAACAACGAACUUCAAAAGUCCCGGUGGUGGCUGACACUGCUCCCUGGGGAGAUGAGGACUGUCUGUAGCCACACCCCACCUAACACACCCCCCCACUGGGAGGCACUGUUUAGUGAGGUGAGAGGCAGGGCACAAGGAGUGUCACUUGCUUCCUUCAGCCUUGCUGGGUUGGUGGUGGCCGAGGGCCAACAUGGGGCCAGCCGGUCCCGGUGCAGUAUGACUGUCUUCUGCCACAAGGUAACUGCACCCGGUAAACCACAUCAGAGAUGCAGUUGAGCACCUCUCCUGGCCUCUUCUGACAUCUUCCAAACUUGGGGGAUUGUCUCUUCUUCUGGGAGGGGCAGUAACCCAUACUGGGGCCCCCGCCAUGUGCUGCUGCAUUGGCACCCUAGACUGGCGGCCUGGCCCCUUCUGGGACGUGCAGGUGUCACAGCAGUGCACAAGCAACUCCAUGUCCUGCCUGUACCCUGGCCAGGAGAAGCAUUUGCCCAGCUUGCAGUCUUGAAGUAGCUGUUCCCAACCAGUCCAUGCACCAGUCACAUAGAGAGGGGGCAGGUGAUUAUUACACACCCCGGCUACUGUCAGAGUGACCCACAAGCAUACAAGUGAAUAACUGUAUAACCUGAGCUAAAGAGUAACAAUAAAUGAAUGUGAACAUCCCACCAGAAUCCCACUAAAGCAUUUUAACACAAGAAAAAUAAUUAGCACUGGCCACUAGGAAUGUUGGGGCGGACUGUCGAAGACCCCUCACCCCACAUGCCACUGAGCGCUUCAAGAGAACUAAGCUCAUCCAGACUAUUGUACUUUUAAUGAAUCAUUAUGUGUGUCCACCCAUCUGUUUUUAAAAGUCACAAUAUUUAAGUUAAGGAAAAAACUUUUUAUGGGGUCAGAGAGAGAUAAAUGUUUAUCUAUCUGUAUGUGUACAAUUUCUAUUGAACAUAUUGAACUGUUCAGGUCCUUGUAUACUACUGGCCUGUUCCACACCCAGUCUCCUGCAUAUAAUGCUUAAAAAAAUGCACCAUCUAGGGAGGGAGGUGUUUCAGGUUGAUGACCUUCUUUUCUAAAGGUUAAUUUUUCUGCCUGAAAUGGGACAAACCCAGGCAUAUAGGGUUGCUAACUUAGACUGACAUCUUUGUUGGCAUUGAUGAAUUGAGCCUGAUCCUGUACUGUGUGACUCCAUCAAAAUAUUCUGUCUUCACAGAUGCUAUCUGUUCUGCUGUUUCCUGCAAUUUCCAUGCAUAGAUUAGGUUUUCAAUGGUUUGCUUUUGCAUCAUUUUCUGUUAUGUGGUAGUUUAUAGAUCAUCCAGAAUUUGCCAACAAAUGGAGGCAAUUCUGAGUCAACCGUACAUAAGAAAUCUAACCAUGAACCCUGAAUCUGGUGAACAACAUCGUCAAUACAUUUUGUUGCUGGAGAACCUAUUAACUGAGAUUGGCAGAUAGUUAUACCAAGGUUCAGCUCUUUCACCCCAUACCAGGUAGUUACGCCAAGGAUCAGCUCUUAUGUCACAUUCCAGGUGAGACCUGAUGCAGUUCCUGCUGUCCUAUCUAUUUCAAUUAGAUUUGUAGUUCAGCAGGAAGUAAAGAUUUUUAAACUACCUGUACUUCAGUUUUGUUUAAUAACUUAAAUCAUUUAGGAGUUUCAAGUGCUUUUGCUGACUUUUUAAAACAUAUAUAUUUAAAAUAUUUUUUCUUCACUUUUAAUAAUUGAACAAAAUGAAUACAAAACUUAGCACAUUUUUUGCAGCUAUCAAGGGCAAUCGGAGAGUUUCCUGCUGCAAAUUUUCUUUAUUAAACUUCUUACUGCUAGUCAUGGCAGACGACUGGAACCCAGCACUUUGUUCAGAAAGGCAGGCCUUCCACAUCUAGUCUAGGUAAGUCUGGCAGGUGAUUGCAGCAGGCAGGCUUCCAUUAGCAAGACCUUGCCCAGAUAUUGAGGUAGUUAGCUUGGUAAUUUGGUAAGUGGUUAACCAACUGAUUGUUAUCUGGUGUGGGAGGGUGGGGAUCAU